GAUGAACGCUGGCGGCGUGCCUAAUACAUGCAAGUCGAGCGAACGGACGAGAAGCUUGCUUCUCUGGUGUUAGCGGCGGACGUGUGAGUAACACGUGUAUAACCUACCUAUAAGACUGGGAUAACUUCGGGAAACCGGAGCUAAUACCGGAUAAUAUUUUGAACCGCAUGGUUCAAAAGUGAAAUACGGUCUUUCUGUCACUUAUAGAUGGAUCCGCGCUGCAUUAGCUAGUUGGUAAGGUAACGGCUUACCAAGGCAACGAUGCAUAGCCGACGUGAGAGGGGGAGCGGAGACACGGGAAGUGAGACACGGAAAAGAGGACGACGGGAGGGAGCAGUAGGGAAUGUUACGCAAUGGGGGAAAGCAUGACGGAGCAAAGCCGCGUGAGUGAUGAAGGUCUUAGGAUCGUAAAAAUCUGUUAUUAGGGAAGAAAAAAUGUGUAAGAAACUGUGCACAUAGUGACGGUAACUAAUCAGAAAGCAACGGCUAACUACGUG
This 497-nucleotide ribosomal RNA is filed under the name uncultured bacterium. RNAcentral describes it as "partial 16S ribosomal RNA". It matches the Rfam family "Bacterial small subunit ribosomal RNA", at positions 28 to 507 of the family's 1533-position model. The record is from RNAcentral.